RNAcentral lists this ribosomal RNA (403 nucleotides) under bacterium. RNAcentral's name for it is "partial 16S ribosomal RNA". It matches the Rfam family "Bacterial small subunit ribosomal RNA", at positions 355 to 776 of the family's 1533-position model. The record is from RNAcentral.
UGGGGAAUAUUGCACAAUGGGGGAAACCCUGAUGCAGCGACGCCGCGUGAACGAAGAAGGUAUUCGUAUCGUAAAGUUCUGUCCUAUGGGAAGAUAAUGACAGUACCAUAGAAGAAAGCUCCGGCUAAAUACGUGCCAGCAGCCGCGGUAAUACGUAUGGAGCGAGCGUUGUCCGGAAUUAUUGGGCGUAAAGGGUACGCAGGCGGUUUAAUAAGUCGAAUGUUAAAGAUCGGGGCUCAACCCCGCAAAGCAUUGGAAACUGAUAAACUUGAGUAGUGGAGAGGAAAGUGGAAUUCCUAGUGUAGUGGUGAAAUACGUAGAUAUUAGGAGGAAUACCAGUAGCGAAGGCGACUUUCUGGACACAAACUGACGCUGAGGUACGAUAGCGUGGGGAGCAAACAGG